AUGACUUACCAUGCACUUACCCUUUGGACUUAAUCCCAGCCUAAACUAUAGAUUAGCCCCUUAAGACCUCUCAAACUAAGGCCUUAAGUCACCUAGGAUCAAAUCUGAUCCUAAACAAAACAAAAAAUUCAUCUCACUAUCUACACAUACCUAAGUCAACUCAAACUGAGAUUGAGUCGACUCAUCUGAAAGCUAGUCGACUCAGACUGACACU
This 214-nucleotide long non-coding RNA is filed under the name Elaeis guineensis (African oil palm). RNAcentral describes it as "long non-coding RNA (EGUI_LNC080299)". The record is from RNAcentral. Lineage: Eukaryota; Viridiplantae; Streptophyta; Magnoliopsida; Arecales; Arecaceae.